GAAAAGCUACAGGGAGCCUCCCUCCUACUGACUUGGCCAAUUUGAUCUUAUUGAGUUUCAAACUUAGAUUAAUUAAUGUAGACACUCCGAAGGCCUUCCUUCAUGCUUGGUCAAAAGAAUAUGUCAAGAUCUUAGUGAGCUUGUUGUGCUAUCUAUAAAGUUUACUAUAGAAAUUGAUAUGAUAUUUAUCUAAGUACAUAUUGAUGCUUAUGGCUUAUUUGAAUAGUAUUGUCUUGUUGUGCUAUCCAUAAGGGUAGUAUUGUUUAAGUAUGACCAUAUGGGAUUGAAGGAUUAACUUAAUAAGAACACUAUAGUUUGUUGUGCUAUCCAUAAGACUGAGUGAUUUAGAGGCAAGAGAGAAAAAUAUUGAGAAUUGUAUGAAGUACAAUUGGUAAAGAGUUACCUAGUCUUGAACUCAUGAAUGCUUGUUGUGCUAUCCAUAAGAUAUUUGUAAGGAAUAGAGAUCUCAACCACACUUAGAAACAUAAUGAUGUUUCUCAUUUUUCAUACUUAAAGACUAUAAAAUUUAUUAAAAUAGUGAGAGACAUAAUUAGAUAAAAGUCCUAAUCUAGUUGUGCAUGUCAUCAUGAGUUAUCUAUUUAUAUUGUGUUCUUGUUAUUAUAAAUUAACUGCAUAUAUGGCAUCCUCACUGUCACUGCGAGGUAUUUUAGAUGCUAACAAAUUGAUCGGAUCAAACUAUAUGAACUGAUUGAGAAAUUGAAGAAUAGUUCUCAAACAGGAGAAAGUCUCCUAUAUACUGGAUUCACCUACACCCGAUACGAUCAGAGAAGAUGCAUUUGAGGAGGAAAGGGCCACAUAUAAUAUCUAAAAGGAUGAUAGUGUGACUGUCAAAUGUAUCAUGCUUGCCUCAAUGAAUAAUGAGCUUCAGAGGUAGCAUGAGGAUAUGGAUGUU
RNAcentral lists this long non-coding RNA (913 nucleotides) under Elaeis guineensis (African oil palm). Its description in RNAcentral is "long non-coding RNA (EGUI_LNC065597)". The record is from RNAcentral. Lineage: Eukaryota; Viridiplantae; Streptophyta; Magnoliopsida; Arecales; Arecaceae.